Molecule: ribosomal RNA, 253 nt
Filed under: uncultured bacterium
Lineage: Bacteria
Description: partial 16S ribosomal RNA
Rfam family: Bacterial small subunit ribosomal RNA
Source: RNAcentral
UACGGAGGGGGCUAGCGUUGUUCGGAAUUACUGGGCGUAAAGCGCGCGUAGGCGGACCUGCAAGUCGGGGGUGAAAGCCCGAGGCUCAACCUCGGAACUGCCUUCGAUACUGCGGGUCUCGAGUCCGGGAGAGGUGAGUGGAAUUCCUAGUGUAGAGGUGAAAUUCGUAGAUAUUAGGAAGAACACCAGUGGCGAAGGCGGCUCACUGGCCCGGUACUGACGCUGAGGCGCGAAGGCGUGGGGAGCGAACGGG